AACGAACGCUGGCGGCAGGCCUAACACAUGCAAGUCGAGCGAGAUUUUCGGAUCUAGCGGCGGACGGGUGAGUAACGCGUGGGAACGUGCCCUUUGCUUCGGAAUAGCCCCGGGAAACUGGGAGUAAUACCGGAUGAGCCCUACGGGGGAAAGAUUUAUCGGCAAAGGAUCGGCCCGCGUUGGAUUAGGUAGUUGGUGGGGUAAUGGCCUACCAAGCCGACGAUCCAUAGCUGGUUUGAGAGGAUGAUCAGCCACACUGGGACUGAGACACGGCCCAGACUCCUACGGGAGGCAGCAGUGGGGAAUCUUAGACAAUGGGGGAAACCCUGAUCUAGCCAUGCCGCGUGAGCGAUGAAGGCCUUAGGGUUGUAAAGCUCUUUCAGCUGGGAAGAUAAUGACUGUACCAGCAGAAGAAGCCCCGGCUAACUCCGUG
This 433-nucleotide ribosomal RNA is filed under the name uncultured bacterium. RNAcentral describes it as "bacterial SSU rRNA". It matches the Rfam family "Bacterial small subunit ribosomal RNA", at positions 29 to 507 of the family's 1533-position model. The record is from RNAcentral.